AAGAUGGAAACGGCUCUCACUUACAGAUGGGCCCGCGGGGCAUUAGCUAGUUGGUGAGGUAACGGCUCACCAAGGCAACGAUGCAUAGCCGACCUGAGAGGGUGAUCAACCACACUGGGACUGAGACACGGACCAGACUCCUACGGGAGGCAGCAGUAGGGAAUCUUCCGCAAUGGACGAAAGUCUGACGGAGCAACGCCGCGUGAGUGAUGAAGGCUUUCGGGUCGUAAAACUCUGUUGUUUGGGAAGAACAAGUACAAGAGUAACUGCUUGUACCUUACGUGAUCCAACGCAGAAAGCCACCGUCAACUAGUUGCCAGCAGCCGCGGUAAUAGUAGGUGGCAAGCGUAUCCGGAAUUAUUGGGCGUAAAGCGCGCGCAGGCGGUUUCUUAAGUCUUAUGUGAAAGCCCACGGCUCAACCGUGGAGGGUCAUUGGAAACUGGGGAACUUGAGUGCAGAAGAGAAAAGCGGAAUUCCACGUGUAGCGGUGAAAUGCGUAGAGAUGUGGAGGAACACCAGUGGCGAAGGCGGCUUUUUGGUCUGUAACUGACGCUGAGGCGCGAAAGCGUGGGGAGCAAACAGGAUUAGAUACCCUGGUAGUCCACGCCGUAAACGAUGAGUGCUAAGUGUUAGAGGGUUUCCGCCCUUUAGUGCUGCAGCUAACGCAUUAAGCACUCCGCCUGGGGAGUACAGUCGCAAGACUGAGACUCAAAGGAAUUGACGGGGGCCCGCACAAGCGGUGGGAGCAUGUGGGUUUAAUUC
This 762-nucleotide ribosomal RNA is filed under the name Priestia flexa. Its description in RNAcentral is "bacterial SSU rRNA". It matches the Rfam family "Bacterial small subunit ribosomal RNA", at positions 202 to 952 of the family's 1533-position model. The record is from RNAcentral. Lineage: Bacteria; Bacillati; Bacillota; Bacilli; Caryophanales; Bacillaceae.